This is a long non-coding RNA of Felis catus (domestic cat), 297 nucleotides long. RefSeq lists it as uncharacterized. NCBI's taxonomy places the organism in Eukaryota, Metazoa, Chordata, Mammalia, Carnivora, Felidae. The transcript has 3 exons. The record is from RefSeq and is a predicted model, not a curated record.
AUGUUCCUGAUGACUCCUUUCUUUCUGUUCCAUCAAUUGCUGAUUCUUUAUUUGCAUUUCUUCCAGUACUUUUGCUGCAGCCUGUGCAGAUUCAGCUUUCACACGUUCCACUGAGAGGAGGAAAAAGAAGACAAAUGUAUAACUAUGUGUGUUUCAAGUCUAAUUCAUUUUUGAUUACAAUAAUGCAAAAUAAGCAACAAUGUCUUCAUCUUCCAGUGAAAACAAGGAGGCUUGAGGGAGGAGAGAGACAGAGCAUGAACGGGCGAGGGGCAGAGAGAGAGGGAGACACAGAAUCGG